This 459-nucleotide ribosomal RNA is filed under the name uncultured bacterium. RNAcentral describes it as "partial 16S ribosomal RNA". It matches the Rfam family "Bacterial small subunit ribosomal RNA", at positions 339 to 795 of the family's 1533-position model. The record is from RNAcentral.
CUACGGGUCGCAGCAGUGAGGAAUAUUGGGCAAUGGAGGCAACUCUGACCCAGCCAUGCCGCGUGCAGGAAGACGGCCCUCUGGGUUGUAAACUGCUUUUGUUUGGGAAUAAACCCUUCUACGUGUAGAAGGCUGAAGGUACCUUACGAAUAAGGAUCGGCUAACUCCGUGCCAGCAGCCGCGGUAAUACGGAGGAUCCAAGCGUUAUCCGGAUUUAUUGGGUUUAAAGGGUCCGUAGGCGGAUCUUUAAGUCAGUGGUGAAAGCCCACAGCUCAACUGUGGAACUGCCAUUGAUACUGGAGAUCUUGAGUGUAGUAGAAGUAGGCGGAAUAGGGCAUGUAGCGGUGAAAUGCAUAGAUAUGCCCUAGAACACCGAUUGCGAAGGCAGCUUACUAUGUUACAACUGACGCUGAGGGACGAAAGCGUGGGGAGCAAACAGGAUUAGAUACCCCCGUAGUC